Molecule: long non-coding RNA, 931 nt
Organism: Pteropus alecto (black flying fox)
Lineage: Eukaryota; Metazoa; Chordata; Mammalia; Chiroptera; Pteropodidae
Exons: 3
Source: RefSeq, a predicted model, not a curated record
CCGGCUGGGCGCUGCGCCCUGCGCCCUACGCCCUGCGCCCUGCCGGGGUCCCUGACCGGAAUCUGAGCUGCUUCCCCUGCUUUGGAAAGACAAGUCUCUGGGCACAAAAGAUGAAUGAAAUGCAGUACCUACCCUCGAGGAGCCCACUGCCUAAUGGGGCAGGACCCAUGGGCCUCUUCAAGCUCAUUCCUGGACUCACUUGUGAAAACAUGAGACCCUCGUGACCUGGCCUCUGCCACCCUCGUCAGCUCAUCUUCAUCUCCGACCCCCGUUGGUAAAUGCCCGGCCACACCACAUGACAUGUACUUCCCUCGCGCACACCACUGCAUUUCACUGCUUCAUGCCAUCGCACAUGUUAUUCUCGACAACUGGAAAGGCUAGUAAACUCCCGUUCAUUCUUCAAAGCCCAGCUUUGGAGUUACCACCUCUUUGUCUGGGUCCUCAGUGCUGUCCAGACAGGCUUGAUCAUCCCGCAGCCUGAAGCACUUCUGUCUACAUACUUCUCUCAUUGCGUGUUUUCCAAUUAAUGGGGGCUCCAUGUCUGUCUUCCGUACUGGACUCUGAGUUUCCUGAGACUAGAGACCACAUCUUUAGCCUUUGCAUCCCCAGUACUCAGCAUGUAAUAGAUCUGGAGAAAUAAAAUGGCGGAGGAAUGAGCUGACAAAGAAGGAGGCCAACAAGCAGACCGGAAGAAAGGACAGGAGCCAGGAGAAGAAAUGGUGUCAAGAAGGAAAGAAGCACCAGGAGGAGCCUAGAGGUCAAGAUGGUUAAGGACUGAGAGGCAUCAUUGAAUUUGGCAACUAAGAAGCCAUUGGUAGAGAGACCAACUGUCCUGGUUUUCCUGGGACCCAGAUUUCUAGAACUGAAAGUCCUAGGCAAAUGGAGAUGGUCUAGAGUGGUGACCUUAACAAGGACAACUCUGGAGGCGGAG